GAUGAACGCUGGCGGCGUGCCUAAUACAUGCAAGUCGAGCGAACGGACGAGAAGCUUGCUUCUCUGAUGUUAGCGGCGGACGGGUGAGUAACACGUGGAUAACCUACCUAUAAGACUGGGAUAACUUCGGGAAACCGGAGCUAAUACCGGAUAAUAUUUUGAACCGCAUGGUUCAAAAGUGAAAGACGGUCUUGCUGUCACUUAUAGAUGGAUCCGCGCUGCAUUAGCUAGUUGGUAAGGUAACGGCUUACCAAGGCAACGAUGCAUAGCCGACCUGAGAGGGUGAUCGGCCACACUAGUACUGAGACACGGUCCAGACUCCUACGGGAGGCAGCAGUAGGGAAUCUUCCGCAAUGGGCGAAAGCCUGACGGAGCAACGCCGCGUGAGUGAUGAAGGUCUUCGGAUCGUAAAACUCUGUUAUUAGGGAAGAACAUAUGUGUAAGUAACUGUGCACAUCUUGACGGUACCUAAUCAGAAAGCCACGGCUAACUACGUG
This 497-nucleotide ribosomal RNA is filed under the name uncultured bacterium. RNAcentral's name for it is "partial 16S ribosomal RNA". It matches the Rfam family "Bacterial small subunit ribosomal RNA", at positions 28 to 507 of the family's 1533-position model. The record is from RNAcentral.